This 63-nucleotide transfer RNA is filed under the name Xerotyphlops vermicularis (Eurasian blind snake). RNAcentral describes it as "tRNA-Gly". Lineage: Eukaryota; Metazoa; Chordata; Lepidosauria; Squamata; Typhlopidae. The record is from RNAcentral.
AUUUCCUUAGUAUAUUAAGUAUGCCUGCCUUCCAAACAGGCGGUUCCACAAAGGAAGGAGAUA